RNAcentral lists this ribosomal RNA (320 nucleotides) under uncultured Serratia sp. RNAcentral's name for it is "bacterial SSU rRNA". It matches the Rfam family "Bacterial small subunit ribosomal RNA", at positions 46 to 362 of the family's 1533-position model. The record is from RNAcentral. Lineage: Bacteria; Pseudomonadati; Pseudomonadota; Gammaproteobacteria; Enterobacterales; Yersiniaceae.
GCCUAACACAUGCAAGUCGAGCGGUAGCACAAGAGAGCUUGCUCUCUGGGUGACGAGCGGCGGACGGGUGAGUAAUGUCUGGGAAACUGCCUGAUGGCGGGGGAUAACUAGUGGAAACGGUAGCUAAUACCGCAUAACGUCGCAAGACCAAAGUGGGGGACCUUCGGGCCUCACGCCAUCAGAUGUGCCCAGGUGGGAUUAGCUGGUAGGUGGGGUAACGGCUCACCUAGGCGACGAUCCCUAGCUGGUCUGAGAGGAUGACCAGCCACACUGGAACUGAGACACGGUCCAGACUCCUACGGGAGGCAGCAGUGGGGAAU